AAUCCGUCGAUUUCAAAAAUCGUGAGGGUUCAAGUCCC
Molecule: transfer RNA, 38 nt
Filed under: Sonchus asper
Lineage: Eukaryota; Viridiplantae; Streptophyta; Magnoliopsida; Asterales; Asteraceae
Description: partial tRNA-Leu
Source: RNAcentral